AACGAACGCUGGCGGCAUGCCUAACACAUGCAAGUCGAACGAGACCUUCGGGUCUAGUGGCGCACGGGUGCGUAACGCGUGGGAAUCUGCCCUUGGGUUCGGAAUAACUCAGAGAAAUUUGAGCUAAUACCGGAUGAUGACGUAAGUCCAAAGAUUUAUCGCCCAAGGAUGAGCCGCGUAAGAUUAGCUUGUUGGUAGGGUAAUGGCCUACCAAGGCGACGAUCUUUAGCUGGUCUGAGAGGAUGAUCAGCCACACUGGGACUGAGACACGGCCCAGACUCCUACGGGAGGCAGCAGUGGGGAAUAUUGGACAAUGGGCGAAAGCCUGAUCCAGCAAUGCCGCGUGAGUGAUGAAGGCCUUAGGGUUGUAAAGCUCUUUUACCAGGGAUGAUAAUGACAGUACCUGGAGAAUAAGCUCCGGCUAACUCCGUG
This 432-nucleotide ribosomal RNA is filed under the name uncultured bacterium. RNAcentral's name for it is "bacterial SSU rRNA". It matches the Rfam family "Bacterial small subunit ribosomal RNA", at positions 29 to 507 of the family's 1533-position model. The record is from RNAcentral.